Molecule: ribosomal RNA, 271 nt
Filed under: uncultured bacterium
Lineage: Bacteria
Description: partial 16S ribosomal RNA
Rfam family: Bacterial small subunit ribosomal RNA
Source: RNAcentral
UACGGAGGGUGCAAGCGUUAUCCGGAUUUACUGGGUUUAAAGGGUGCGCAGGCGGAUAUGUAAGUCAGUGGUGAAAAUCUCUGGGCUUAACCCCGGAAAUUUGCCAUUGAUACUAUAUAUCUUGAAUGCUGUGGAGGUAAGCGGAAUAUGUCAUGUAGCGGUGAAAAUGCUUAGAGAUGACAUAGAACACCUAUUGCGAAAGGCAGCUUACUACGCAGAGAUUGACGCUCAUGCACGAAAGCGUGGGGAUCAAACAGGAAUUAGAUUACCC